GUUAAAGGCAGGCCUCCUGCUGGUGGGC
RNAcentral lists this non-coding RNA (28 nucleotides) under Homo sapiens (human). Lineage: Eukaryota; Metazoa; Chordata; Mammalia; Primates; Hominidae. The record is from RNAcentral.